CCCAGCUUUUACUCCUCUGAUACAAUCUCGAAGUUCUUGGGCUAUCCAUGGUGUUUCUGUUCAAUGGAUUGAGCAAUUGUUCUUACACCAAGCAAUCCAGCAUCUUCUAUGAUAUCUGAGGUAAAAUCAAGAUGGUACACCAAGUUGUAAUUCUUGACCAGUCGUCUGGUGCUGUCAAUGUCAAGGAAACCUGCAAAUAAACAAGCAAGAUAUAACAAGAGCUGUGAUUGGUUGAGCAGUUACAAAAUCAAUACUAUACCAGGGGAUAAUCAUACCUAGAAAUCGUUUUACACCAGUGGUUCAAAAUAACCCAAUCAUAGCUAAGCAUUCUCAUAACUAUAAUGGUAGCCAUGGAAACAGGAGGGCCACAUGUUCGAUAGCUUUAUUUAGGGUUAUAUGUAUCCCUUGUGAAAUAAAGAAUAUUGUAUCAUCUUA
Actinia tenebrosa (Australian red waratah sea anemone) is the source of this 435-nucleotide long non-coding RNA. RefSeq lists it as uncharacterized. The record is from RefSeq and is a predicted model, not a curated record. NCBI's taxonomy places the organism in Eukaryota, Metazoa, Cnidaria, Anthozoa, Actiniaria, Actiniidae.